RNAcentral lists this ribosomal RNA (253 nucleotides) under uncultured bacterium. RNAcentral's name for it is "partial 16S ribosomal RNA". It matches the Rfam family "Bacterial small subunit ribosomal RNA", at positions 524 to 776 of the family's 1533-position model. The record is from RNAcentral.
UACGUAGGGUGCGAGCGUUAAUCGGAAUUACUGGGCGUAAAGUGUGCGCAGGCGGCCGCGCAAGUCGAGUGUGAAAGCCCCGGGCUUAACUUGGGAAUUGCGCUCGAAACUACGUGGCUGGAGUGUGGCAGAGGAAGGUGGAAUUCCAGGUGUAGCGGUGGAAUGCGCAGAUAUCAGGAAGAACACCCGUGGCGAAGGCGGCUCUCUGGAACGCAACUGACGCUGAGACGCGAAAGCGUGGGGAGCAAACAGG